This 446-nucleotide ribosomal RNA is filed under the name uncultured bacterium. RNAcentral describes it as "bacterial SSU rRNA". It matches the Rfam family "Bacterial small subunit ribosomal RNA", at positions 329 to 792 of the family's 1533-position model. The record is from RNAcentral.
GGCCAGACUCCUACGGGAGGCAGCAGUGGGGAAUAUUGCACAAUGGGGGAAACCCUGAUGCAGCAACGCCGCGUGAGUGAAGAAGUAUUUCGAUAUGUAAAGCUCUAUCAGCAGGGAAGAAAAUGACGGUACCUGACUAAGAAGCCCCGGCUAACUACGUGCCAGCAGCCGCGGUAAUACGUAGGGGGCAAGCGUUAUCCGGAUUUACUGGGUGUAAAGGGAGCGUAGACGGCUGUGCAAGCCAGAUGUGAAAGCCCGGGGCUUAACCCCGGAACUGCUUUGGAAACUGUGCAGCUAGAGUGCAGGAGAGGUAAGUGGAAUUCCUAGUGUAGCGGUGAAAUGCGUAGAUAUUAGGAGGAACACCAGUGGCGAAGGCGGCUUACUGGACUGUAACUGACGUUGAGGCUCGAAAGCGUGGGGAGCAAACAGGAUUAGAUACCCGAGUA